This is an RNA transcript of Arvicola amphibius (Eurasian water vole), 2304 nucleotides long. It is a transcript of the gene named testis expressed 33, with no coding region annotated. NCBI's taxonomy places the organism in Eukaryota, Metazoa, Chordata, Mammalia, Rodentia, Cricetidae. The record is from RefSeq and is a predicted model, not a curated record. The transcript has 3 exons.
GAUUCAUGAAGAGGAGGUUGGGGGCAGGCUCCCGAAAGUCCUACAGUCUUUGACUUUGCUGCUGUGGACUGAAGUGUGCCAGGGGUUUGAAACCAAACACAGUGGUGAGUUUUGCUGUCACCUUGUGUCCUCACCCCUGCUGUCACCUCACACCCUGGUGUCUGAUGUUUGGGAUGUUCUUGGUGCUUCUCCUGUUGGUGCUUGCACACCCACCCUCUGCAAGCCUGGGGGUCUUGGGGUUGCAUGCCUCUCUACUGCCUGUGGUUGCUUCACAGAGGCAUGGGAUUCUCUGCGGACCAUGUGGCUCUGACCCAUCUCAAUCUGAAGAUUUUUAUUCUGUUAUGGCCGUCCUCCAGACUCUGAGCUCUCAAAGCAAACCCUAAUCCUGUCUAGUUAGAUUUAUUCUGAGAGGUGAGAAGCGGGUUUCAUCUCUGCCUCAGGGAAUCUAAAAAGCCAAAGCAAUGAUGCUAGCUGCCAUACCCCCCCCAAAUCUGGCCAUUUUACAGCCUCACCUAGUGCCUGCCUUCAAGUUCUGUCCAGGGACUUUCAUGUUGCCGCUUUGAUCCCGGUUGCCAUCAGGACUGAGGGCUUUGACCAAACCUCUAACUCACUGUUACAUAAGCCUUGCCAACUGUAAACCCCAAGCCUGCAAGUUUACUUUCCAGAGUGAUUUCUAGCUUGGCAGUAUCAUCGUCAGAGAAUGCGGCCUGCAGGAACUUUGCGGGUCCGUGGAUGUUGCUAGGAGCUGCUUUACAGAUCAGCCCACAACUGCGUUUGCAGAUCUCAUGAGCUUUCGGAUAGUCUUUUGGCUUGAGGUUUUGUGUUUGCCUAUAGGGAGAGGCCUGUUAAUGAUUCUCCAUGAAUCCUGUCAUUCUUUAAUACUACUCUUUGCUUGAUCUAUUAAUUAGUGAAAGGUGAACCUCUAAGUCUUUCCUGAUGGUAACAGGUUCAUCAGUUUCUCUCUUGAUCUUGCUAUGUCUAUUCAGAUACUCGCAAUGAAGCAAGCUUAGAACCAUAAUGCUAACUCACAUAGUUAUUUAUAUAAAUUUUUAAAAGAUUUUAUUUUUAAUGUGCAUAUAGGAAGGGGUGGGGGACUCACACGCAUACUGUGUCAUGCCUGUGGAGGUCAGAGGACAGUUUGCAAGAGUCUGAUCUCUGCUUUCACCAUAUGAGUGCCAGGGAUUGAGCUCGGUCAGGUCAUGGACUUGGCGGCAAGCGCCUCUGCCUGCAGAGUUAUAGGGCCAGUCCCUGUUAUUUUUAUUUCUCCUACUGCUGUUGACUUACAGGCUGUUUUGUCUGAUAUGGGUGCAGCCGGGCCAGCUUGUGCUCAGCUGACAUUUUGUCCGAUUUAUCUUUUUCUAGCCUUUCAUAUUUAUCCUCUCCUUGGGUCUUUUUUUAAAUGUAUGCUUUAAAUAAUACAGGUCUGGGAAUUAUUUACUCUGGCAGUCUGUUCUCCAUAAUCAGUGAGUGAAGUCAGUUUUUAUUUCUGUUGCUGAUGAAUUUGGGUCGAUCCAUACUUUGUGUUUUCUAUUUGUGUUUUUCUUUUCUUUUUCUUUUUUAAAUUUGCACGAGCUUUCUUCUUAUUCUCCCCAGUCAGAUUUUAUUUUCUUUUUUUGGUGUUUUCAUUUUCUAGUUAUUUUUGACGUCUCCAGGUGCAUCGCAGACACGUCCUCAUCGGAAGGCGUGAGAGGGGUCCUCUGCCUUCUCAGGCCGACGAAGGCUGUUGUUACUCUCCUGCCUCUCUCUGUGCAAUGCCCGCCUGUUUUAAAGUCAAAGGUUGAGCUGCCCCGGCCACACUCUUUAACUUUGCAGCUGUGUGACUUUGAACACUCUGCUUCAGUCUGUGCCCCAGCAGUGAGCAGGGGACAAUCGAUCCAUUGAUCUAUUGUCUCAGCUGCUUCCUAGGAGGGCUGAUUCAGCGAGGGGGUUGCCGGGAGGGAACCAUUUGGAAUUAUCCUUAGCUCCUUGGAUAUCUUCACUCGCAGCAGGUUGGAGGUGAGGCUCAGUGUGGAACUCUGACCUAGUGUGGGCCACCCCAGGAGACAAAGAGCCUCAUGAAGGCUUCCUACACGCCAGAGGUGAUUGAGAAAUCAGUGAGGGAUGUAGAGCACUGGCAUGGUAGGAAGACGGAUGAACUAGGACGGUGGCACCGGAAAAAUGCCAUGAAUAUGAACUUGCAGAAGGCACUGGAAGAGAAAUACGGAGAAAAGGGCAGAUCCAAGGGCAAGUAGUUGAAAGGACUUUGGAAGGAAGCUCGCAGAGAGUGCUAUCAAUAAAGAAAGGCGGGCCCAGGUCUGAGCCAUG